AGAGAAUAGAUACCCGGGUAGUCCAUGCUGUAAACGAUGGAUGCUAGCUGUGAUGCGUAUCGACCCGCGUCGUAGCGAAGCUAACGCGUUAAGCAUCCCGCCUGUGGAGUACGGCCGCAAGGCUAAAACAUAAAGGAAUUGACGGGGACCCGCACAAGCGGUGGAGCGUGUUGUUUAAUUCGAUGGUAAGCGAAGAACCUUACCCAGGUUUGACAUCCUUGGAAGUUCUGCGAAAGCAGAGUGUGCCUUCGGGAACCAAGUGACAGGUGAUGCAUGGCCGUCUUCAGCUCGUGUCGUGAGACGUUAGGUUAAGUCCUUCAACGAGCGCAACCCUUAUAGUUAGUUGUAUUUUUCUAGCUAGACUGCCCUGGUAACAGGGAGGAAGGAGGGGACGAUGUCAGGUCAGUAUCUCCCUUAUAUCUGGGGCUACAAACACGCUACAAUGGCCGGUACAAAGGGAAGCCAACCCGCGAGGGGAGCAAAUCCCAUCAAAGCCGGUCUCAGUUCGGAUUGUAGGCUGAAACUCGCCUGC
RNAcentral lists this ribosomal RNA (532 nucleotides) under uncultured bacterium. RNAcentral describes it as "bacterial SSU rRNA". It matches the Rfam family "Bacterial small subunit ribosomal RNA", at positions 774 to 1319 of the family's 1533-position model. The record is from RNAcentral.